GACGAACGCUGGCGGCGUGCCUAAUACAUGCAAGUUGAGCGAUGAAGAUUGGUGCUUGCACCAAUUUGAAGAGCAGCGAACGGGUGAGUAACGCGUGGGGAAUCUGCCUUUGAGCGGGGGACAACAUUUGGAAACGAAUGCUAAUACCGCAUAACAACUUUAAACAUAAGUUUUAAGUUUGAAAGAUGCAAUUGCAUCACUCAAAGAUGAUCCCGCGUUGUAUUAGCUAGUUGGUGAGGUAAAGGCUCACCAAGGCGAUGAUACAUAGCCGACCUGAGAGGGUGGUCGGCCACAUUGGGACUGAGACACGGCCCAAACUCCUACGGGAGGCAGCAGUAGGGAAUCUUCGGCAAUGGACGAAAGUCUGACCGAGCAACGCCGCGUGAGUGAAGAAGGUUUUCGGAUCGUAAAACCCUGUUGGUAGAGAAGAACGUUGGUGAGAGUGGAAAGCUCAUCAAGUGACGGUAACUACCCAGAAAGGGACGGCUAACUACGUG
RNAcentral lists this ribosomal RNA (497 nucleotides) under uncultured bacterium. RNAcentral describes it as "partial 16S ribosomal RNA". It matches the Rfam family "Bacterial small subunit ribosomal RNA", at positions 28 to 507 of the family's 1533-position model. The record is from RNAcentral.